This 989-nucleotide ribosomal RNA is filed under the name Klebsiella pneumoniae. RNAcentral's name for it is "bacterial SSU rRNA". It matches the Rfam family "Bacterial small subunit ribosomal RNA", at positions 515 to 1504 of the family's 1533-position model. Lineage: Bacteria; Pseudomonadati; Pseudomonadota; Gammaproteobacteria; Enterobacterales; Enterobacteriaceae. The record is from RNAcentral.
CCGCGGUAAUACGGAGGGUGCAAGCGUUAAUCGGAAUUACUGGGCGUAAAGCGCACGCAGGCGGUCUGUCAAGUCGGAUGUGAAAUCCCCGGGCUCAACCUGGGAACUGCAUUCGAAACUGGCAGGCUAGAGUCUUGUAGAGGGGGGUAGAAUUCCAGGUGUAGCGGUGAAAUGCGUAGAGAUCUGGAGGAAUACCGGUGGCGAAGGCGGCCCCCUGGACAAAGACUGACGCUCAGGUGCGAAAGCGUGGGGAGCAAACAGGAUUAGAUACCCUGGUAGUCCACGCCGUAAACGAUGUCGAUUUGGAGGUUGUGCCCUUGAGGCGUGGCUUCCGGAGCUAACGCGUUAAAUCGACCGCCUGGGGAGUACGGCCGCAAGGUUAAAACUCAAAUGAAUUGACGGGGGCCCGCACAAGCGGUGGAGCAUGUGGUUUAAUUCGAUGCAACGCGAAGAACCUUACCUGGUCUUGACAUCCACAGAACUUUCCAGAGAUGGAUUGGUGCCUUCGGGAACUGUGAGACAGGUGCUGCAUGGCUGUCGUCAGCUCGUGUUGUGAAAUGUUGGGUUAAGUCCCGCAACGAGCGCAACCCUUAUCCUUUGUUGCCAGCGGUCCGGCCGGGAACUCAAAGGAGACUGCCAGUGAUAAACUGGAGGAAGGUGGGGAUGACGUCAAGUCAUCAUGGCCCUUACGACCAGGGCUACACACGUGCUACAAUGGCAUAUACAAAGAGAAGCGACCUCGCGAGAGCAAGCGGACCUCAUAAAGUAUGUCGUAGUCCGGAUUGGAGUCUGCAACUCGACUCCAUGAAGUCGGAAUCGCUAGUAAUCGUAGAUCAGAAUGCUACGGUGAAUACGUUCCCGGGCCUUGUACACACCGCCCGUCACACCAUGGGAGUGGGUUGCAAAAGAAGUAGGUAGCUUAACCUUCGGGAGGGCGCUUACCACUUUGUGAUUCAUGACUGGGGUGAAGUCGUAACAAGGUAACCGUA